RNAcentral lists this ribosomal RNA (646 nucleotides) under uncultured marine eukaryote. RNAcentral describes it as "bacterial SSU rRNA". It matches the Rfam family "Eukaryotic small subunit ribosomal RNA", at positions 618 to 1105 of the family's 1831-position model. The record is from RNAcentral.
UGUUAAAAAGCUCGUAGUUGGAUCAAGAGCUGGAGAGUGCACGGUGGCCCUUGUUGGUCGUUGGCUCCGGUCAUUCGGCUAGCUUGGGAUCAACCCCGUGCGCCAAACUCUCCACUCUAACAGGCCGAAACGGUUCCCUGUGAGUAGGCUCCUUCAUUGGGGUUGAAAGCGACUUCGCAUCAACCAUAUGCAUACGGGACGUCGGCCAAAGUUACUGUGAACAAACCAGCGUGUCCAAAACAGGCUUUCGCCUGAAUGUUCGAGCAUGGAAUAACAAGGGAUCGAUUCUCUCGGUUCUUUUUGUUGGUUUUUAACCCGAGAAGGAGUAAUUCAGGCCACGGUGUCUGAGCUGGGUUCCCCUGCACUUCGGUGUAGGCCCCAGUUAGGCCGUGUCCUUACGGGAUAAAUAGGGACUGACGGGGUCGUACGUACUUCCACGUCAGAGGUUAAAUUCUUAGAUCGUGGGAAGACGAACUUCUGCGAAAGCAUUCGACAAGAAUGUCCUCAUUAAUCAAGAACGAGAGUGUGGGGAUCGAAGAUGAUCAGAUACCGUCGUAGUCCACUGCUGUAAACAAUGCCGUCUCAGGAUUGAGAAGUAACUUAUUGACCUUCACAGCACUAACCCCUGAAACGAGAAAUCAAAGAU